GGGUGACUUUUGAGAUUGUGAUA
This 23-nucleotide non-coding RNA is filed under the name Arabidopsis thaliana (thale cress). Lineage: Eukaryota; Viridiplantae; Streptophyta; Magnoliopsida; Brassicales; Brassicaceae. The record is from RNAcentral.